RNAcentral lists this ribosomal RNA (494 nucleotides) under uncultured bacterium. RNAcentral describes it as "partial 16S ribosomal RNA". It matches the Rfam family "Bacterial small subunit ribosomal RNA", at positions 28 to 507 of the family's 1533-position model. The record is from RNAcentral.
GACGAACGCUGGCGGCGUGCUUAACACAUGCAAGUCGAACGGUGAAGCGCCUUCCUUUUUGGUGGGUGUGGAUGAGUGGCGAACGGGUGAGUAACACGUGAGUAACCUGCCCCCUUCUUCUGGAUAACCGCAUGAAAGUGUGGCUAAUACGGGAUAUUCUGGGUCUGUCGCAUGAUGGGUCUGGGAAAGAUAUUGUUUCGGUGGGGGAUCGGCUCGCGGCCUAUCAGCUUGUUGGUGGGGUGAUGGCCUACCAAGGCGGUGACGGGUAGCCGGCCUGAGAGGGGGGGAGGGUAACACGGGAAUGGGGCACCGGCCAGGAUCCCACGGGAGGGCGCAGGGGGGAAUAUUGCACAAUGGGCGCAAGCCUGAUGCAGCGACGCCGCGUGAGGGAUGGAGGCCUUCGGGUUGUGAACCUCUUUCGCCAGUGAAGCAGGCCUGCCUCGUUUGUGGGUGGGUUGACGGUAGCUGGAGAAGAAGCGCCGGCUAACUACGUG